Molecule: long non-coding RNA, 1043 nt
Organism: Gallus gallus (chicken)
Lineage: Eukaryota; Metazoa; Chordata; Aves; Galliformes; Phasianidae
Source: Ensembl
GAUUGAUCACAUAACCUGACCUCUCUGGGCCUCAGCUGGAGCCCACUGCAAGGGGACUCAGUGUGCUUCCCGGCUUUUGGGACACAUGUGCGUUUCUUUGCUAAGCAGGUUGGAUUUUCUGGCAAAUCUCACAAGGGUUGCAGAGGAAAAAGUGUUUAUUUUGGUAGCGUGCACGAAGUUCCAGCUAUUCUAAAAAGCCGAGAUUUCGCAGCUAAGCUUUCCUGUUCCCAGCAGAGAAGGAGGUGAGAUGCUCAAAGAAUCUCUGUUCUUAUUUCAAUGCCGUGCUUGCCAGCCAAAUUUUCCAAAGAGACCAUUUUGCUGACAGAGAAGGGGCUAAGGAAGAAGGAAAUGCUGGAGAACGCUUAUUGCGCCCAACUCUCUUCCAUUUUAUCUUUCUGUUCCAUAUGUUUUCUCCGUAAUGAGACGAAUUAUUUAUCAUUAAAGUGAUAUAUAAUUUAGAAAUUUAAACUUAAAAUUAAUGGACGCUUAAAUUAAUUUACUGACAAAAAUAAAUGUCCGUCCUUCAGAUCCUAUAAUUUUAAUUGGAAUGGGCUAUGGCUUAAUUAACAUGUAUCGAUUGUAGUCCUGCUGCAUCUCUAGGUGGGUGGACUGUGUGGAAAUGCAGAGAGAAAGCCUUCUCGCAGAUGAAGGUGCAUUCAGAUUUGCUGAUAGCGCUCUGAAUAAUUACCUUGUGAAGAGACAGCGCAAUCUUUGGUCUCCAAGCUGUUUUCUGGGCAGAAAGCUUAAAUAUAUGUGUUGUUUAAAAUUCGGACUAAAAAUUGGCACGGCCGCUUUAUAGAUGGGAAGAAAAUAUCUGCUCCAAAAUUGUUAAUGAUCUGAAUCAUUAAUUAAUGAGAUGCAUGAAGAACACACAAAAUUGGAGGGAAGUUAUAAAGAAGCUGACUCAAAUAGAAGCUUUUGGUGAGGAAAAAGGUGGGUUUUCCCAUUGCCUUGUGGGUUAUGGAUGGGAAUGGGAGUGUGAUGUGCAGGGCUGCUGACCAUCAUGGAGCCUGAGCCUGCCUUGGGCUCACUGUACAGCCUGU